Molecule: long non-coding RNA, 1472 nt
Filed under: Heterocephalus glaber (naked mole-rat)
Lineage: Eukaryota; Metazoa; Chordata; Mammalia; Rodentia; Bathyergidae
Description: lncRNA (ENSHGLG00100042841.1)
Source: RNAcentral
GGGCGGCCGGCCGCGCGGAGGGAGUGAGUCACCUGACCGCUGCUCCUUCGCUGCCUUCGCCGCCUUCGCCGCCGCCGCCGUCAGUCGGGCCGCGCCGCGCCGCCCCGGGGCUCUGUUUCCUGUCAUCGAGGGGAAUUGUGCGUUUGGACUGCUCGUAGGCUGCGAGCCUCCCUAGCGUGGCACUCGGGCUGAUCCGAGGAUGAGUGGAGUAGUAAUCGUGAAAGAACGUGUGUGGGAAAAACAGGCUGCAACGUCAUGCUUGGAAGAACAAAGACUUUUGUAGGAUGUUGAUCUUUUCGCGGAAUUAUAUCAGUGCUGGGAUUUUACCCACGGAAGAUGCUGCGGCUGGGUCUUUGUGUAUUCGCACACUCUGUAUCCCCGAGGGUUUGCAUUUUAAGACAACUCGAGAAGAUAAAGGGUGGAAAGCCCAGGCGUGUGGGUGGCAGAGUGCUCGAGAGCUUAGCUCGGCGGAGCAGAGAAAUGGGAAGAGGUGUCAGCCUGCUGCUUCCUGGUCCAGGGUAGUGGUGCAAGGGUUGUGCUGUGUGGGCUGGGCUUGAAGGCCCUUGCCCCUUCUGCCUCUGGACCUCCGACGCCAGGGGUGGGGGGGAGGCUCCUGGUGAGUCAGCGUGGAGUGGGCUGGCCCCAGCUGUUUAACCUGCGUUAUCUGUCAAGGGGCUGACCCUGGCUCAGUAUUUUGGUUGGACAGCAGGGUAGGAUGACUCGUUACAAAAGUUGGGCUGCUGAGUCAUUCGCCCCAGCCUCAGAGGUAAUUAGGAACAGCUGUGCAGACACGCUGCUCCUCAUGUGCCACCACUAUAAAAGGCCGGAGAGCACCCGUGAGGGCUUGCUUUGGAAGGCUGAGGGGAACCCAGCCUCAGCUCUGUUUUGAUACAGGUAAUCAGUAGGUGAGGUGCAGAAGCACUCUUAGGAAGUGGCCAAGUAGUAGGAAGGUGGUGUUUAAACACAGGGCAGCCUCGUGACCUACUGCUGGAGAAAACAUCCUUGCGGAGGAGAGAGCUAGAACGGAGAGAGAAAUUUACAGCUAGGAGUAACACGGCGAACAGACACUAUUGUAAUAAAAACAUUUACCAUGCUUAGUGAACCUCGUGUAUUGUUUCAUUUUUGUGCUUUUGUUACUGAGUAGUGUAAACGUUUCAUAAAGUGAAUUGAAUUUGUUCUUUAUAAUAAUUUCGUUAUGAGAACACAGAAGGGGACCUCCUCUCAUUUUUAUUGGCUCAUGGGUUUUCAUGCAUACCUGAGUAGUUUCUAGGGUCAGGCAGGAGGGAAGAAAAAUAUGGAUGGAAUCAGCAGGUCUUAAUUGAGUCUUUCAGGAAGGAACUGUCGAAAGGCAAACAGUAUGUUGCUAGUGUCCUUACAACCUGUGUCACUGUUUUUUGCUGAAAGAAAAUGAGCGUGUAACACCUGCAUGCUAGCGCCCAGUGCAAGCCAAGUUUAGGAAUGGGAAUUGUAGA